Molecule: long non-coding RNA, 1270 nt
Organism: Pseudopipra pipra
Lineage: Eukaryota; Metazoa; Chordata; Aves; Passeriformes; Pipridae
Exons: 3
Source: RefSeq, a predicted model, not a curated record
GUGCCUUUAUUUGAGUUUGCUGUAGAUAAGCAAAUGGAGUUUCUAAUGAAAACCAGUCCAUAAGGCUGCUAUACUUGUACGAGCUGAAAAACUGAGCUUCUAGCAUUUUAUUUUUCUUCACAGCCAAGCAGACACUUUUUUUUCAUCUUUCAAAAGCAAAUGCUGCUAUGGAUUGUGAAUACUAGACUACACCAAAUUGUAUCCUAGCUUAGAUGAACGUUAUCAUGAGUAUCAGUACCUGGAGUAUUAGUGGCUACCUUAAAUUCCAUUUUGCUCCCUCAGAAGGCCGUGAUUAUGUCAUCCUGAAGUCUUCUCUUUUCUAGGCUGAACAAUCUCAAAGCAAACUCUGGUGUUGCACUUGUAAGAGUUUCACAUUCACUAGUUCAUCCAGAAACAACCUCCUUGCACGUGGGGUUCAAUACAGGUCCCUCUCACUAAAAUGCCUGAAAUGACUGUGUGAAGACUUGUCAGAGUCCUUUUCUGAGUGCAGAUAACAAGGUUGGUGUCCGAAUACGUCUGUCUUCAAAAGCAAGGAGUUGAAGAACAAGAAAAUUCUAAACAUGAUAAGACAUGUUUAGAACAUGAAGACACUUAAGCAACAUUAAAUUAAUUGGUUUGCUUUGCUUGUGUACGUGGCUUUUGGUCUUUCCAUUAAACUGUCCUUAUCUCAACUCACGCGUUUUUUUGGCUUUUACCCUUUGAUUUUCUCCCUGAUGCCACUGGUGGGGUGAGUGAGUGAGCAGCUGUGUGGGGCUAUGUUGUUUAACCACAACAGCAUCUAACUAUAACCAGGGUACAAAAUCUUUAAAAGCUAUCUUUUUUUUAGCUUUUAAAAAUACUCAGUAGUGCUUACAUUUGCAUGGAUACAUAUGUGUAACCCACUUGAGUUCUAGUCUCAGACACGUCUUUGAACAUAAUCAGUCUCUGAGUCCAAUUGUAGAGAUUCCUGCGUUUUAUUUUAAAGAUUCUUUGCUAAACUUUAAGAAUUUAGUAUGAAGAUUUUGCUUCAAAUUCAACCUAUUUCAAACCUCCAAGACAGUACUAGGGUGGGGUGAUUCUUUUCAAAGGAUGUGCAUUAAUGUUUAGCUGGAAUUAUAUUGUUUUUUAUGCCUCGCUAGAAGCGUAAGCCAAGCUCUUUGCUAUAGAAGCUAAUUCAUUAGCUCAAAUCGUAAAGGAUUGUGUUAUAGGAGGUUCUGAGCCAAAUGUUGCGUAAUUGCUAAUUUGGUGUCUACGUUUUUUCCUCCUAACAAUAUGAUUAAACCCAUUUUGU